CCUACGGGUGGCAGCAGUGAGGAAUAUUGGUCAAUGAGCGGGAGCCUGAACCAGCCAAGUCGCGUGAGGGAUGACGGCCCUAUGGGUUGUAAACCUCUUUUGCCGGGGAGCAAAAUUCCGCACGUGUGCGGUUUGGUGAGUACCCGGAGAAAAAGCAUCGGCUAACUCCGUUCCAGCAGCCGCGGUAAUACGGGGGAUGCGAGCGUUAUCCGGAUUUAUUGGGUUAAAAGGGUUCGUAGUCGGACGUUUACGUCAGCGGUAAAAUUGCGGGGAUCAACCUCGCUGCGCCGUUGAAACUGGCGUUCUUGAGUGGGCUAGAAGUAUGCGGAAUGCGUGGGGUAGCGGUGAAAUGCAUAGAUAUCACGCAGAACUCCGAUUGCGAAGGCAGCAUACCGGCGCCCAACUGACGCUGGGGCACGAAAGCGUGGGUAUCGAACAGGAUUAGAUACCCGAGUAGUC
Molecule: ribosomal RNA, 459 nt
Filed under: uncultured bacterium
Lineage: Bacteria
Description: partial 16S ribosomal RNA
Rfam family: Bacterial small subunit ribosomal RNA
Source: RNAcentral